GAUCCUGGCUCAGGAUGAACGCUGGCGGCGUGCCUAACACAUGCAAGUCGAGCGAUUUACUUCGGUAAAGAGCGGCGGACGGGUGAGUAACGCGUGGGUAACCUGCCUCAUACACAUGGAUAACAUACCGAAAGGUAUGCUAAUACAGGAUAAUAUAAGAGAUUCACAUGGAUUUCUUAUCAAAGUUCCGGCGGUAUGAGAUGGACCCGCGUCUGAUUAGCUAGUUGGUAAGGUAAUGGCUUACCAAGGCGACGAUCAGUAGCCGACCUGAGAGGGUGAUCGGCCACAUUGGAACUGAGACACGGUCCAAACUCCUACGGGAGGCAGCAGUGGGGAAUAUUGCACAAUGGGCGAAAGCCUGAUGCCAGCAACGCCGCGUGAGUGAUGAAGGCCUUCGGGUCGUAAAACUCUGUCCUCAAGGAAGAUAAUGACGGUACUUGAGGAGGAAGCCCCGGCUAACUACGUGCCAGCAGCGGC
This 477-nucleotide ribosomal RNA is filed under the name uncultured bacterium. RNAcentral describes it as "bacterial SSU rRNA". It matches the Rfam family "Bacterial small subunit ribosomal RNA", at positions 15 to 518 of the family's 1533-position model. The record is from RNAcentral.